AUAUUGGUCAAUGGGCGCAAGCCUGAACCAGCCAUCCCGCGUGAAGGAAGAAGGCGCUAUGCGUUGUAAACUUCUUUUCCAGGGGGAGAAUUUUUCCGUCGUGACGGGAAUUGACGGUACUCUGGGAAUAAGCAUCGGCUAACUCCGUGCCAGCAGCCGCGGUAAUACGGAGGAUGCGAGCGUUAUCCGGAUUUAUUGGGUUUAAAGGGUGCGUAGGCGGAUUGAUAAGUCAGUGGUGAAAGGCUGCAGCUUAACUGUAGACUCGCCGUUAAUAGUGUCAGUCUUGAGUAUGUUCAAGGCAAGCUGAAUGUGUAAUGUAGCUGUGAAAUGCUUAGAUAUUACACAGAACACCGUUUGCGAAGGUAGCUUGCUGGGCCAUCACUGACGCUCAUGCACGAGAGCGUGG
RNAcentral lists this ribosomal RNA (406 nucleotides) under uncultured bacterium. RNAcentral's name for it is "bacterial SSU rRNA". It matches the Rfam family "Bacterial small subunit ribosomal RNA", at positions 361 to 764 of the family's 1533-position model. The record is from RNAcentral.